RNAcentral lists this ribosomal RNA (389 nucleotides) under uncultured bacterium. Its description in RNAcentral is "bacterial SSU rRNA". It matches the Rfam family "Bacterial small subunit ribosomal RNA", at positions 28 to 417 of the family's 1533-position model. The record is from RNAcentral.
GACGAACGCUGGCGGCGUGCUUAACACAUGCAAGUCGAGCGGUAAGGCCCUUUCGGGGGUACACGAGCGGCGAACGGGUGAGUAACACGUGGGUGACCUGCCCUCAGCUCUGGGAUAAGGCCUGGGAAACUGGGUCUAAUACUGGAUAUGACUCCACGGUGCAUGUCGUAGGGGUGGAAAGCCUUGUGCGGCUGAGGAUGGGCCCGCGGCCUAUCAGCUUGUUGGUGGGGUGANGGCCUACCAAGGCGACGACGGGUAGCCGGCCUGAGAGGGCGACCGGCACACUGGGACUGAGACACGGCCCAGACUCCUACGGGAGGCAGCAGUGGGGAAUCUUGCGCAAUGGGCGAAAGCCUGACGCAGCGACGCCGCGUGAGGGAUGACGGCCU